This 250-nucleotide ribosomal RNA is filed under the name uncultured prokaryote. RNAcentral describes it as "partial 16S ribosomal RNA". It matches the Rfam family "Bacterial small subunit ribosomal RNA", at positions 524 to 773 of the family's 1533-position model. The record is from RNAcentral.
UACGUAGGGGGCAAGCGUUAUCCGGAUUUACUGGGUGUAAAGGGAGCGUAGGCGGCGAAGCAAGUCAGAUGCGAAAGCCCGGGGCUUAACCCCGGUACUGCAUUUGAAACUGUUUUGCUAGAGUAUCGGAGAGGUAAGUGGAAUUCCUAGUGUAGCGGUGAAAUGCUUAGAUAUUAGGAAGAACACCAGUGGCGAAGGCGGCUUACUGGACGAUAACUGACGCUGAGGCUCGAAAGCGUAGGGAGCAAAA